UUUGGUGAUAUUAGCGGCGGAGGUACACCCGGUCACAUCCCGAACCCGGCAGUUAAGCCCGCCAGCGCCGAUGGUACUUGGGGGGAAGCCCCCUGGGAGAGUAGGUCAUUGCCAAUA
Molecule: ribosomal RNA, 117 nt
Filed under: Chloroflexota bacterium
Lineage: Bacteria; Bacillati; Chloroflexota
Also listed under: 1 other name
Source: RNAcentral